AACGAACGCUGGCGGCAGGCCUAACACAUGCAAGUCGAGCGAGAUCUUCGGGUCUAGCGGCGGACGGGUGAGUAACGCGUGGGAAUAUGCCUCUUGGUACGGAAUAGCCUCGGGAAACUGGGAGUAAUACCGUAUGUGCCCUUUGGGGGAAAGAUUUAUCGCCAAGAGAUUAGCCCGCGUUGGAUUAGGUAGUUGGUGGGGUAAUGGCCUACCAAGCCGGCGAUCCAUAGCUGGUUAGAGGGGAUGAUCAGCCACACUGGGACGGGGACCCGGCCCAAAACUCCCGGAGAGGAAGCAAGGGGGACACUAAGAACGGGAGUGAAACCCUGAACCACCCGGGCCGUGAAAAUGUGUUAGGCCUUAAGAUUGUAAAUCUCUUUCAACGGGGAAAGAUUGACCGUAACCAGUAAAAAAGCCCCCGCUAAAUCCGUG
RNAcentral lists this ribosomal RNA (432 nucleotides) under uncultured bacterium. RNAcentral describes it as "partial 16S ribosomal RNA". It matches the Rfam family "Bacterial small subunit ribosomal RNA", at positions 29 to 507 of the family's 1533-position model. The record is from RNAcentral.